GACGAACGCUGGCGGCGUGCUUAACACAUGCAAGUCGAACGGAAAGGCCCUGCUUUUGUGGGGUGCUCGAGUGGCGAACGGGUGAGUAACACGUGAGUAACCUGCCCUUGACUUUGGGAUAACUUCAGGAAACUGGGGCUAAUACCGGAUAGGAGCUCCUGCUGCAUGGUGGGGGUUGGAAAGUUUCGGCGGUUGGGGAUGGACUCGCGGCUUAUCAGCUUGUUGGUGGGGUAGUGGCUUACCAAGGCUUUGCCGGGUAGCCGGCCUGAGCGGGUGACCGGCCACAUUGGGACUGGGAUACGGCACAGACUACUACGGGAGGCAGCAGUGGGGAAUAUUGCACAAUGGGCGGAAGCCUGAUGCAGCAACGCCGCGUGCGGGAUGACGGCCUUCGGGUUGUAUACCGCUUUCGCCUGUGACGAAGCGUGAGUGACGGUAAUGGGUAAAGAAGCACCGGCUAACUACGUG
RNAcentral lists this ribosomal RNA (468 nucleotides) under uncultured bacterium. RNAcentral describes it as "partial 16S ribosomal RNA". It matches the Rfam family "Bacterial small subunit ribosomal RNA", at positions 28 to 507 of the family's 1533-position model. The record is from RNAcentral.